This 148-nucleotide ribosomal RNA is filed under the name Bacillus cereus. RNAcentral describes it as "partial 16S ribosomal RNA". The stretch from base 16 to 148 matches the Rfam family "Bacterial small subunit ribosomal RNA", at positions 60 to 189 of the family's 1533-position model. The record is from RNAcentral. Lineage: Bacteria; Bacillati; Bacillota; Bacilli; Caryophanales; Bacillaceae.
GGCGUGCUAUACUGCAGUCGAGCGAUGGAUUGAGAGCUUGCUCUCAAGAAGUUAGCGGCGGAGGGUGAGUAACACGUGGGUAAACUGCCCAUAAGACUGGGAUAACUCCGGGAAACCGGGGCUAAUACCCGAUAACAUUUUGAACUGC